Molecule: long non-coding RNA, 396 nt
Filed under: Citrus sinensis (sweet orange)
Lineage: Eukaryota; Viridiplantae; Streptophyta; Magnoliopsida; Sapindales; Rutaceae
Description: long non-coding RNA (CSIN_LNC003351)
Source: RNAcentral
GAAUCUCAGCCGCCCAUUUUCCCCACGGCCUCUGCCUUACCCCUCUGUAAUUCUUUUUCCCUCUCCUCUUUCCCGCACCGCUGCUACCAGCUGCUGCUUUCUUUUGCCGUUGGUGCUGCUGCUGCUGAGGCUGCUGUUGUUGGUGGGCGUAAUGGUUAUUAUUUGGCGGGAAAUAGUUGCAUCCCAAACAACCUUGAAUGUUGCACACUUGACACGUGUCGGCAGGAGGCAGCAUCGCAUUCCCAAAAUUAGUGUUGUAGUUAUUAUAACUCGUGGACGUGGAGGCGAUGGCUGCUGCGUUAGACGCCGUCCAAUCUUGAAAUCGAAAAAUAUCGGCGGAGAAAUCGUUGUCUGUGUUUCCGACGACGACGUUUUCGAGCGCUGCGACCAUGAUGG